GACGAACGCUGGCGGCGUGCUUAACACAUGCAAGUCGUACGGUAAGGCCCUUUCGGGGGUACACGAGUGGCGAACGGGUGAGUAACACGUGAGUAACCUGCCCACAACUUUGGGAUAACGCUAGGAAACUGGUGCUAAUACUGGAUAUGUGCCCCUGCUGCAUGGUGGGGGUUGGAAAGCUCCGGCGGUUGUGGAUGGACUCGCGGCCUAUCAGCUUGUUGGUGGGGUAGUGGCCUACCAAGGCGGCGACGGGUAGCCGGCCUGAGAGGGUGACUGGCCACAUUGGGACUGAGAUACGGCCCAGACGCCUACGGGAGGCAGCAGUGGGGAAUAUUGCACAAUGGGCGCAAGCCUGAUGCAGCAACGCCGCGUGCAGGAUGACGGCCUUCGGGUUGUAAACCGCUUUCAGCAGGGACGAAGCUUUUUGUGACGGUACCUGCAGAAGAAGCACCGGCUAACUACGUG
This 465-nucleotide ribosomal RNA is filed under the name uncultured bacterium. Its description in RNAcentral is "partial 16S ribosomal RNA". It matches the Rfam family "Bacterial small subunit ribosomal RNA", at positions 28 to 507 of the family's 1533-position model. The record is from RNAcentral.